UGGCUACAAAAUAACUUAUUUUAUAGCCACUUUGAGUUACGAUAAUUACUAUAUUAAUUUACAAGAUUAUAGUAACUCCUUACUAAGUGGUUUACUCCCCAUGUGUUAUAGUAACUCAACUAUCGUAAAUAUGUAUACAUAUUAUCGUAAAUUAAUAUAUAAAAUUAUCGUAAAUGGAGGUGGCUACAGAAUAACAUAUUUUGUAGCUA
RNAcentral lists this microRNA precursor (209 nucleotides) under Sorghum bicolor (sorghum). RNAcentral's name for it is "MIR6217 microRNA precursor family". It matches the Rfam family "MIR6217 microRNA precursor family". The record is from Rfam by way of RNAcentral. Lineage: Eukaryota; Viridiplantae; Streptophyta; Magnoliopsida; Poales; Poaceae.